RNAcentral lists this ribosomal RNA (439 nucleotides) under uncultured bacterium. RNAcentral describes it as "partial 16S ribosomal RNA". It matches the Rfam family "Bacterial small subunit ribosomal RNA", at positions 338 to 795 of the family's 1533-position model. The record is from RNAcentral.
CCUACGGGUGGCUGCAGUGGGGAAUAUUGCACAAUGGGGGAAACCCUGAUGCAGCGACGCCGCGUGAAGGAUGAAGUUUUUCGGUAUGUAAACUCCUUUCAGUAGGGAAGAAAAUGACGGUACCUGACUAAUAAGCCCCGGCUAACUCCGUGCCAGUCGCCGCGGUAAUACGUAGGGGGCAAGCGUUAUCCGGAUUUACUGGGCGUAAGGGAGCGUAGGCGGGUUAGCAAGUCAGAAGUGAAAGCCCUUGGCUUAACCCCAGGACUGCUUUUGAAACUGUUUAUCUAGAGUGUUGGAGAGGUAGGUGGAAUUCCUGGUGUAGCGGUAAAAUGCGUAGAUAUUAGGAGGAACACGAAUGGCGAAGGCGACCUACUAGAACAUAAAUGACGCUGAGGCGCGAAAGCGUGGGGAGCAAACAGGAUUAGAUACCCGAGUAGUC